UACAGGGGGUGCAAACGUUGCUCGGAAUUAUUGGGCGUAAAGCGCGCGUAGGCGGCUAUUUAAGUCGGAUGUGAAAGCCCCUGGCUCAACUGGGGAAGUGCACCCGAAACUGAAUGGCUUGAGUGCAAAAGAGGGCCGCGGAAUUCCCGGUGUAGAGGUGAAAUUCGUAGAUAUCAAGCAGAACACCUGCGGCGAAGGCGGCCUUCUGGACGAUGACUGACGCUGAGACGCGAAAGCGUGGGGAGCAAACAGG
Molecule: ribosomal RNA, 253 nt
Filed under: uncultured bacterium
Lineage: Bacteria
Description: partial 16S ribosomal RNA
Rfam family: Bacterial small subunit ribosomal RNA
Source: RNAcentral